GGGGAUCGGAGGAACUCCAACCCCUGUGACAUACCUUACUGUUGCCUCGGCGGAUCAGCCCGCUCCCGGUAAAACGGGACGGCCCGCCAGAGGACCCCUAAACUCUGUUUCUAUAUGUAACUUCUGAGUAAAACCAUAAAUAAAUCAAAACUUUCAACAACGGAUCUCUUGGUUCUGGCAUCGAUGAAGAACGCAGCAAAAUGCGAUAAGUAAUGUGAAUUGCAGAAUUCAGUGAAUCAUCGAAUCUUUGAACGCACAUUGCGCCCGCCAGUAUUCUGGCGGGCAUGCCUGUUCGAGCGUCAUUUCAACCCUCAAGCCCUCGGGUUUGGUGUUGGGGAUCGGCGAGCCUUUCUGGCAAGCCGGCCCCGAAAUCUAGUGGCGGUCUCGCUGCAGCCUCCAUUGCGUAGUAGUAAAACCCUCGCAACUGGAACGCGGCGCGGCCAAGCCGUUAAACCCCCAACUUCUGAAUGUUGACCUCGGAUCAGGUAGGAAUACCCGCUGAACUUAAGCAUAUCAAUAAGCGGAGGAA
This 529-nucleotide ribosomal RNA is filed under the name Fusarium sp. L1. Its description in RNAcentral is "eukaryotic LSU rRNA". The stretch from base 149 to 302 matches the Rfam family "5.8S ribosomal RNA". The record is from RNAcentral. Lineage: Eukaryota; Fungi; Ascomycota; Sordariomycetes; Hypocreales; Nectriaceae.